ACUCAAAUGAAUUGACGGGGGCCCGCACAAGCGGAGGAGCAUGUGGUUUAAUUCGAUGAUACGCGAGGAACCUUACCUAGACUUGAACGUAUUUGGAAUAAUGUGGAAACAUGUUAGUCAGCAAUGACCAUUUACGAGGUGCUGCAUGGUUGUCGUCAGCUCGUGCCGUGAGGUGUUAGGUUAAGUCCUGCAACGAGCGCAACCCUUACCGUUAGUUACCAGCAUGUUAAGAUGGGGACUCUAGCGGAACUGCCGGCGCAAGCCGUGAGGAAGGUGGGGAUGACGUCAAAUCAGCACGGCCCUUACGUCUAGGGCGACACACGUGCUACAAUGGGCGGUACAGAGGGCAGCUACUCCGCGAGGAGAUGCUAAUCUCAAAAGCCGUUCUCAGUUCGGAUCGGAGUCUGCAACUCGACUCUGUGAAGUUGGAUUCGCUAGUAAUCGCACAUCAGCCAUGGUGCGGUGAAUACGUUCCCGGGCCUUGUACACACCGCCCGU
This 498-nucleotide ribosomal RNA is filed under the name uncultured bacterium. RNAcentral describes it as "bacterial SSU rRNA". It matches the Rfam family "Bacterial small subunit ribosomal RNA", at positions 899 to 1397 of the family's 1533-position model. The record is from RNAcentral.